AUGGCAAUUGUCCAUACCUACGGGAAGCCUGACAUCUUCUUGACCAUGACCUGCAACCCUAACUGGGAAGAGAUAACGAAUGAGUUGUUUCCUGGUCAGACAGCGCAAGACCGACCUGAUCUUGUGCCUCGUGUGUUCCAUGGCAAGCUAGAGGCUAUGAAAGAGAUGUUGUUCAAGAAGAAUAUCCUGGGUGUUGUUGUUGCACAUGUAUACGUAGUCGAGUUCCAAAAGAGGGGCCUC
This 240-nucleotide ribosomal RNA is filed under the name Triticum aestivum (bread wheat). Its description in RNAcentral is "partial small subunit ribosomal RNA". The record is from RNAcentral. Lineage: Eukaryota; Viridiplantae; Streptophyta; Magnoliopsida; Poales; Poaceae.